GAUGGACGCUAGCGGCAGGCCUAAUACAUGCAAGUCGGACGGGAUUUGGGAGCUUGCUCCUAAUGAGAGUGGCGCACGGGUGCGUAACGCGUAUGUAACCUACCUUAAUCAGGGCGAUAGCCUCUCGAAAGAGAGAUUAACACCGCUUAAUAUAUUUUUAUGGCAUCGUAGAAAUAUCAAAUAUUUAUAGGAUUGAGAUGGGCAUGCGGAACAUUAGCUAGUUGGUAAGGUAACGGCUUACCAAGGCUACGAUGUUUAGGGGAUCUGAGAGGGUGACCCCCCACACUGGUACUGAGACACGGACCAGACUCCUACGGGGGGCAGCAGUAAGGAAUAUUGGUCAAUGGGCGCAAGCCUGAACCAGCCAUGCCGCGUGCAGGAAGACGGCCCUAUGGGUUGUAAACUGCUUUUGUACCGGAAUAAACCCUUUUACGUGUAAGAGGCUGAAUGUACGGUAAGAAUAAGGAUCGGCUAACUCCGUGCCAGCCGCCGCAGUAA
Molecule: ribosomal RNA, 498 nt
Filed under: uncultured bacterium
Lineage: Bacteria
Description: partial 16S ribosomal RNA
Rfam family: Bacterial small subunit ribosomal RNA
Source: RNAcentral